UACGUAGGUGGCAAGCGUUGUCCGGAUUUAUUGGGCUUAAAGGGUGCGUAGGUGGUCAAUUAAGUCAGUGGUGAAAUAUCCCGGCUUAACCGGGAGGGUGGCAUUGAUACUGAUUGACUUGAGUAGAGUUGAGGUAGGCGGAAUUCCUGGUGUAGCGGUGAAAUGCGCAGAUAUCAGGAGGAACACCGGUGGCGAAGGCGGGUCUGUGGGCCGAUACUGACGCUGAGGAGCGAAAGCGUGGGGAGCGAACAGG
Molecule: ribosomal RNA, 253 nt
Filed under: uncultured bacterium
Lineage: Bacteria
Description: partial 16S ribosomal RNA
Rfam family: Bacterial small subunit ribosomal RNA
Source: RNAcentral